AGUGAACACUGGCGGUAGGCCUAACACAUGCAAGUCGAACGGCAGCACAGUAAGAGCUUGCUCUUACGGGUGGUGAGUGGCGGACGGGUGAGGAAUACAUCGGAAUCUACUUUUUCGUGGGGGAUAACGUAGGGAAACUUACGCUAAUACCGCAUACGACCUACGGGUGAAAGCAGGGGAUCUUCGGACCUUGCGCGAUUGAAUGAGCCGAUGUCGGAUUAGCUAGUUGGCGGGGUAAAGGCCCACCAAGGCGACGAUCCGUAGCUGGUCUGAGAGGAUGAUCAGCCACACUGGAACUGAGACACGGUCCAGACUCCUACGGGAGGCAGCAGUGGGGAAUAUUGGACAAUGGGCGCAAGCCUGAUCCAGCCAUACCGCGUGGGUGAAGAAGGCCUUCGGGUUGUAAAGCCCUUUUGUUGGGAAAGAAAAGCAGCAGGUUAAUACCCCGCUGUUCUGACGGUACCCAAAGAAUAAGCACCGGCUAACUUCGUG
This 492-nucleotide ribosomal RNA is filed under the name uncultured bacterium. RNAcentral's name for it is "partial 16S ribosomal RNA". It matches the Rfam family "Bacterial small subunit ribosomal RNA", at positions 29 to 507 of the family's 1533-position model. The record is from RNAcentral.